UGCCAGCCAUAUCUACAUCUGGAUUUCCUUCCCAACUGUCACUUCCUCACCCCUCUCCAAGUUCUACACUUUAUUUUACCUGCAUUCCAAAUGGCUUCACUCUGCGCUAGGCAGCACUCACACUUGGCCCCAGGAAAGCAUCGUAUCCAGGGAGACAUUGCCACAAGAUUCAAAGUCCCGCCCAGACCACUUAGGAGCCGAGAAAACUUGAGCAUGUAAUGUAACCUCUGGAGGACCUGAUUUGUGAAGACAAUGAAAAAUAACCCGUAUACAGAUCAUCAUCAUCUUAAACACCCCAGUGCAUGGUACAAAUCCAGACCGGCUCCCUGCCUGUUUCUUCCUGUUUGCUUUUCAAGUCGGAACUCCGCUAACCCGGGGGAUC
Molecule: long non-coding RNA, 382 nt
Organism: Eptesicus fuscus (big brown bat)
Lineage: Eukaryota; Metazoa; Chordata; Mammalia; Chiroptera; Vespertilionidae
Exons: 4
Source: RefSeq, a predicted model, not a curated record